Molecule: unclassified non-coding RNA, 180 nt
Filed under: plant metagenome
Description: partial contains small subunit ribosomal RNA and internal transcribed spacer 1
Rfam family: Eukaryotic small subunit ribosomal RNA (bases 1-45)
Source: RNAcentral
AGUCGUAACAAGGUCUCCGUUGGUGAACCAGCGGAGGGAUCAUUACCGAGUUUACAACUCCCAAACCCUAUGAACAUACCUAUCGUUGCCUCGGCGGUGCCCGCUCCGGCGGCCCGCCGGAGGACCCCAAACUCUUGUUUAUACAGUAUCUUCUGAGUAACACGAUUAAAUAAAUCAAAG